Pongo abelii (Sumatran orangutan) is the source of this 111-nucleotide small nuclear RNA. Lineage: Eukaryota; Metazoa; Chordata; Mammalia; Primates; Hominidae. The record is from Ensembl.
GUGCUUGCAUCGGCAGCACAUGUGCUUAAAACAAUUGGAAUGGUACAGAGAAGAUUCACAUGGCUCCCAUGUGAGGAUGACAUGCAAAUUCAUGAAGAAUUUCAUUUUUUU